ACGGGUGAGUAACACGUAGGUAACCUGCCUAUGAGACUGGGAUAACUAUCGGAAACGAUAGCUAAGACCGGAUAACUGGUUUUCUCGCAUGAGAGAAUCAUGAAACACGGAGCAAUCUGUGGCUUAUAGAUGGGCCUGCGGCGCAUUAGCUAGUUGGUAGGGUAAUGGCCUACCAAGGCGACGAUGCGUAGCCGACCUGAGAGGGUGACCGGCCACACUGGGACUGAGACACGGCCCAGACUCCUACGGGAGGCAGCAGUAGGGAAUCUUCCGCAAUGGACGCAAGUCUGACGGAGCAACGCCGCGUGAGUGAUGAAGGUUUUCGGAUCGUAAAGCUCUGUUGCCCUAGACGAACAGCAAGGAGAGUAACUGCUCUUUGUGUGACGGUAUAGGAGAAGAAAGCCCCGGCUAACUACGUGCCAGCAGCCGCGGUAAUACGUAGGGGGCAAGCGUUGUCCGGAAUUAUUGGGCGUAAAGCGCGCGCAGGCGGUCAAUUAAGUUGGGUGUUUAAGCCCGGGGCUCAACCCCGGUUCGCAUCCAAAACUGGUUGACUUGAGUGUAGGAGAGGAAAGUGGAAUUCCACGUGUA
Molecule: ribosomal RNA, 588 nt
Filed under: uncultured bacterium
Lineage: Bacteria
Description: bacterial SSU rRNA
Rfam family: Bacterial small subunit ribosomal RNA
Source: RNAcentral